UACGUAGGUGGCAAGCGUUGUCCGGAUUUACUGGGCGUAAAGGGCGUGCAGGCGGUUUGUUUAGUCUAGGGUGAAAGCUCCCGGCUUAACUGGGAGAGGUCCUUGGAUACUGGCAAACUUGAGGGAGGCAGAGGAAAGUGGAAUUCCCGGUGUAGUGGUGAUAUGCGUAGAUAUCGGGAGGAACACCAGUGGCGAAGGCGGCUUUCUGGGCCUUACCUGACGCUGAGACGCGAAAGCGUGGGGAGCGAACCGC
Molecule: ribosomal RNA, 253 nt
Filed under: uncultured bacterium
Lineage: Bacteria
Description: partial 16S ribosomal RNA
Rfam family: Bacterial small subunit ribosomal RNA
Source: RNAcentral